This is a long non-coding RNA of Priapulus caudatus, 277 nucleotides long. RefSeq lists it as uncharacterized. The transcript has 3 exons. The record is from RefSeq and is a predicted model, not a curated record. NCBI's taxonomy places the organism in Eukaryota, Metazoa, Priapulida, Priapulimorpha, Priapulimorphida, Priapulidae.
AUAUUAAUCGGUAGAACAACUUGUCGUCUGAUAGGUUCAGGCGUCUAUUGUAAAUGAAUGAAUAAUCAGUCUUCUGGUUCUGUCUCGGUUACAGAAUUAGAGCAGUUACGAGAUGAAGGUGUUUCACAUGUUGAGGAAGGCAGCUCACAAUUCGAGAUCCUUCUCAAGCUUCGUGGGAUGGCAGGCAACCAGUAGGGGGCGCACUGUCGGGUACUGCACUGGAACUCUUCUGGUUGGUGGCGUCGCUCUCUACCAUGCCCAGCACCACAAGGUAUAC